RNAcentral lists this ribosomal RNA (253 nucleotides) under uncultured bacterium. RNAcentral describes it as "partial 16S ribosomal RNA". It matches the Rfam family "Bacterial small subunit ribosomal RNA", at positions 524 to 776 of the family's 1533-position model. The record is from RNAcentral.
UACGGAGGGAGCUAGCGUUGUUCGGAAUUACUGGGCGUAAAGCGCACGUAGGCGGCUUUGUAAGUUAGAGGUGAAAGCCCGGAGCUCAACUCCGGAACUGCCUUUAAGACUGCAUCGCUUGAAUCCAGGAGAGGUGAGUGGAAUUCCGAGUGUAGAGGUGAAAUUCGUAGAUAUUCGGAAGAACACCAGUGGCGAAGGCGGCUCACUGGACUGGUAUUAACGCUGAGGUGCGAAAGCGUGGGGAGCAAACAGG